GAUGAACGCUGGCGGCGUGCCUAAUACAUGCAAGUCGAGCGAACAGACGAGGAGCUUGCUCCUUUGACGUUAGCGGCGGACGGGUGAGUAACACGUGGAUAACCUACCUAUAAGACUGGGAUAACUUCGGGAAACCGGAGCUAAUACCGGAUAAUAUAUUGAACCGCAUGGUUCAAUAGUGAAAGACGGCUUUGCUGUCACUUAUAGAUGGUUCCGCGCCGCAUUAGCUAGUUGGUAAGGUAACGGCUUAUCAAGGCGACGAUGCGUAGCCGACCUGAGAGGGUGAUCGGCCACACUGGAACUGAGACACGGUCCAGACUCCUACGGGAGGCAGCAGUAGGGAAUCUUCCGCAAUGGGCGAAAGCCUGACGGAGCAACGCCGCGUGAGUGAUGAAGGUCUUCGGAUCGUAAAACUCUGUUAUUGGGGAAGAACAAAUGUGUAAGUAACUAUGCACGUCUUGACGGUACCUAAUCAAAAAGCAACGGCUAACUACGUG
Molecule: ribosomal RNA, 497 nt
Filed under: uncultured bacterium
Lineage: Bacteria
Description: partial 16S ribosomal RNA
Rfam family: Bacterial small subunit ribosomal RNA
Source: RNAcentral